This is a long non-coding RNA of Oncorhynchus tshawytscha (Chinook salmon), 1183 nucleotides long. The record is from Ensembl. NCBI's taxonomy places the organism in Eukaryota, Metazoa, Chordata, Actinopteri, Salmoniformes, Salmonidae.
CUUGGCUUGGCUAAGUUUGGUCCUAUAGUGUGAAUCAGACAAUACAGUAAGCUAACAGGCUACUUGGCUUUAUCAGUGCCCUGCCCAAAAGACCAGGGCAGAUCAUUUCCUACAUUCCCCUCACUGUGUCUCUGUCGAUCCCUAAUCUUGUGUCUUUUGACCCGCGUCUCUCGCAGAUACCAAAGACAAUCUGAGCGAAGCACCUUUUGAUGGCGGAAAGUGAAUGUCCAGCUGUCGCCUCGACAUUGUGUUUGGUUUGGAGGAUUCUGGGGGCUGAACAGAAUCAGAGUGUUGUGGAUAGUGUCACCACCGGAGGGCCUAGAUUCUAUUCAGAUGUGAAUGCCAAAGCAAUCAGACGGAGAGGCAUUGACAUGUACACCCGGAGGACGCAUUUGCGAGUCAAAUCCCCCCCGCUAUUCUGGCUCGCUGUAAACAGUAUUUUGAAGAUGCAUUUGUCGAGUAGUGAGGGAGGAAGAGAAGACGUAUCAGACGGAAACGGAGAUGAUGACAAGUCUUCCAUUAGUAGGAUCUUUUCACCGCCUUCUGAAAUGGCUUCAUCUAUAUUAAUGUGUGUGUUUGACCUGUUGGUAGUUGAUAUUCAUGUGUGUGUUUGACCUGUUGGUAGUUGAUAUUCAUGUGUGUGUUUGACCUGUUGGUAGUUGAUAUUCAUGUGUGUGUUUGACCUGUUGGUAGUUGAUAUUCAUGUGUGUGUUUGACCUGUUGGUAGUUGAUAUUCAUGUGUGUACUGCUGUAAGCCAUUGAUGGUGUAUGUCUUCUUCUGACAAUGGCCAAUUGACUCCAUCAGUUAGACAGUGGGAUGGGCAGUGGUGGCUGGUUCGACCUAGAAACGGAAGAAAACAAAUGGGAGGCACAACGUUCUGGCAAAAGGUAACGAGGCGCGGCAUCUGAGAUUUGUACCACCGUUGAGGCUAUUUUUGAACAGUCCCCUGGAUUAUAUCAGACUAGCGUUUCCCACUGUGCUAGACUUGCAAAUCCCUGAUGUGAGGUGCGAUGAAAUGUUUUCAUUCAAACGUUCUGUGAUGUCGGCCAGCGGGGAGGUACAGAACGGCUCAAACAAAGCAGUUAAGUAUAUAAUAACCUUGUAAAGACAUCAGCACUGUGCGUUUGUCUCUGAUAUUUAUUUUUAUGAAUGGAUCAACUCUGCGGUUAAGCAAUUGUCAAG